Molecule: ribosomal RNA, 252 nt
Filed under: uncultured bacterium
Lineage: Bacteria
Description: partial 16S ribosomal RNA
Rfam family: Bacterial small subunit ribosomal RNA
Source: RNAcentral
UACGGAGGAUGCGAGCGUUAUCCGGAUUUAUUGGGUUUAAAGGGUGCGCAGGCGGAGGCACAAGUCAGCGGUAAAAUCGCGGGGCUCAACCCCGCUCCGCCGUUGAAACUGUGUCCCUUGAGUGCGCGAAGGGUAGGCGGAAUGCGUGGUGUAGCGGUGAAAUGCAUAGAUAUCACGCAGAACUCCGAUCGCGAAGGCAGCCUACCGGCGCGCGACUGACGCUCAGGCACGAAAGCGUGGGUAUCGAACAGG